Molecule: ribosomal RNA, 492 nt
Filed under: uncultured bacterium
Lineage: Bacteria
Description: partial 16S ribosomal RNA
Rfam family: Bacterial small subunit ribosomal RNA
Source: RNAcentral
AGUGAACGCUGGCGGUAGGCCUAACACAUGCAAGUCGAACGGCAGCACAGUAAGAGCUUGCUCUUACGGGUGGCGAGUGGCGGACGGGUGAGGAAUACAUCGGAAUCUACUUUUUCGUGGGGGAUAACGUAGGGAAACUUACGCUAAUACCGCAUACGACCUACGGGUGAAAGCAGGGGAUCUUCGGACCUUGCGCGAUUGAAUGAGCCGAUGUCGGAUUAGCUAGUUGGCGGGGUAAAGGCCCACCAAGGCGACGAUCCGUAGCUGGUCUGAGAGGAUGAGCAGCCAAACUGGAACUGAGACACGGUCCAGACUCCUACGGGAGGCAGCAGUGGGGAAUAGUGGACAAUGGGCGAAAGCCUGAUCCAGCCAUACCGCGUGGGUGAAGAAGGCCUUCGGGUUGUAAAGCCCUUUUGUUGGGAAAGAAAAGCAGCAGGUUAAUACCCCGCUGUUCUGACGGUACCCAAAGAAUAAGCACCGGCUAACUUCGUG